UUAUAUAUAGCUUAAAGCACACCGGUUCUCGUCCGAUCACCGAAGUUAAGCAACGUUGGGCCCGGUCAGUACUUGGGAGGGUGACCACCUGGGAACACCAUUAAAAUAAACA
Cordylochernes scorpioides is the source of this 112-nucleotide non-coding RNA. The record is from the annotation of a GenBank genome assembly. NCBI's taxonomy places the organism in Eukaryota, Metazoa, Arthropoda, Arachnida, Pseudoscorpiones, Chernetidae.